GAUGAACGCUAGCUACAGGCUUAACACAUGCAAGUCGAGGGGUAACGAGAGGAAAGCUUGCUUUCCUUGUUGACGACCGGCGCACGGGUGAGUAACGCGUAUCCAACCUGCCCCCAACUAGGGAAUAACCUUGCGAAAGUAAGACUAAUACCCUAUAAUUUCCUCAGAUGUCAUCUGACGAGGAAUAAAGAUUUAUCGGUUGUGGAUGGGGAUGCGUCUGAUUAGCUUGUUGGCGGGGUAACGGCCCACCAAGGCAACGAUCAGUAGGGGUUCUGAGGGGAAGGUCCCCCACAGUGGAACUGAGACACGGUCCAAACUGCUACGGGAGGCAGCAGUGAGGAAUAUUGGUCAAUGGGCGGAAGCCUGAACCAGCCAAGUAGCGUGCAGGAUGACGGCCCUAUGGGUUGUAAACUGCUUUUAUACAGGAAUAAAGUUAGCCACGUGUGGUUAUUUGUAGGUACUGUAUGAAUAAGGACCGGCUAAUUCCGUGCCAGCAGCCGCCGUAA
RNAcentral lists this ribosomal RNA (506 nucleotides) under uncultured bacterium. RNAcentral's name for it is "partial 16S ribosomal RNA". It matches the Rfam family "Bacterial small subunit ribosomal RNA", at positions 28 to 523 of the family's 1533-position model. The record is from RNAcentral.